CUUUUAUAAAAUCGAUUAUUCUGUCUGAAAGUGUGAAGUUCAGGCAGAGCCAACGAGUGUGCAAAAAUCAUGGUUUGUGUUGAUACUUUCCAGGGCGAUUUCCAGGCCUCACUCGUCGUCUAAAAUCAGGAGCAACACGCAAAGAAUCCAUCAAAAGCAAUGCAUUUUCGCAUUCAAGUCCCCGAGCCAGUAAAAAUGUUAAAAGUGCUGGCGAGUUAGUAAAUAUGCGGAUACCCGGCCAAGCUGACAGCAUAUUUUAACUAACCCGCGAGCCCGAGAAGGUUUACAUUGGCCCAAACACACUCGACAAGAAUAAUUCAGUCCCAGACAAAAACCUGCAUAUUUUCGCCGUGGCUGUCGAGAGCCACCGUGCUCGCCUGCACCUUUAAACGAAGACGAACGCCACCCUGGAAUCGAGCCUCCAGCCUUUCCUACUCUCUUUCAACAGCUUCCAAAAUGCUAUUGAGUUUUUCCUACUAAAUGCAUCUAUUGUCAAAGCGGAGGAUGGAAUAUGAAUUCGAGUCAUUCACCAAUCAUAUUCACAAAAUAUUCAAAGACGACAUUAGUACAUAUUGCUACUAUUGUCGGGGCCUUUUUUGUGUCGAUCUGAAGAAACAGUGUUUCCCAAAUUCUUCAAGAAUGUAAAUCAGUCCCCUUUUGUCAAAAGCUGCUGCAACUAAUGUUUUAUUCAGAAAGUAAAGAUAAAUAUCGGUAA
Long non-coding RNA from Dendroctonus ponderosae (mountain pine beetle), 715 nucleotides. RefSeq lists it as uncharacterized. The transcript is spliced from 2 exons. The record is from RefSeq and is a predicted model, not a curated record. Lineage: Eukaryota; Metazoa; Arthropoda; Insecta; Coleoptera; Curculionidae.